GCGAAGAUCCCAUCCGCGUCAGACGGGAGCCGUUAAAACUCUCCAAUGUCGACUUUUUAAGAGGGAAAAUCCGUCGAUGAAUAUCUCUAUAUUUCUCUAUCCAAAGCAACCGGAUUUUAAUUGACCAUGAUAUCAUAUACAAAUAAAAAAAAUUAAAAAAAGUCAGCGCUCAAAUAACUCAAUGAAAACACUUUAAUUCUCAUAUUAAGAGACAUUUUUAAGCGUUUAUUUGAGAGUCUUCUCUCAGAUUUGUACAACUUUUUCACUCUUACACAAAUUUCAGAGGGGUAAACACACACACACACACACACACGGUUUUGUCCAUCUCAAGUGAGUUUAAAAAUAACAAAUUGCCUUCACAGCCGUCCUUUGGCGCUUCCUCGCUGUCACUCCCGGGGAAGGCCUCCGUCCUCCUCCGGUAAUGGAGCUGUAAGCGGAGACACCGUCUCCCUCCGUCACCCCGUCUCCCGACAUCCCGGCGUGUCGUCCACGUUCCUGAACGAAACCGUCUGCUGUAAAUCUGCGGCCGAAGACUGAAGGGAAACGAGCAGCGACGACAGUUUCCCUCGCCGCCUGCAGAUGUUCACCGGCGCCCUCGUUAUAAAAAACCCCAUUGUCGUUGUGAUCCGGGAGCUGACGUCCAGAUACGCCGGUAUCGUCACAGUAUGAGUUUAAAAAAAAAGCUCUACUUUCCUGGUGUCUUUGGGUGAAGCUCUCGCUGCUCUCAUGGGGAUUAGAAGUCGUGCACAUUGCUGUUUCCACGAAAAAAGAAAAGAAACCCAACCCGAAGCCGCCGGCGAGCGGCGAGCGUGUGAGAAAUGGACUAAAGUGGCAGUUGCAUGUUUGUUUUGGUGACGGCGGUGGCGGCAGGGAGCCGUGUGUAAUCCUUCCUGCCCCGAGUGACUGACAGCCACAGGUCUACCUUCGCUUUCUGUCGACUGAGGGGGAAAAAAAACGCCGACAGCCUCGCCAUCAGAAACACGGCGACCCCGGCGGCCUCUGCUCCCCAAUGACCCCCCUUUCUCACCUCCUCUUCUUCACCGAGGUUUUACUCCCUUCUUUAUUCGACAUGUACUCAUUGAUUCGUUUGUGCUAAAGAUAUUCACACUAUCAUCAUGUUGAGACUUUUUUGUAGUCUAAUUAAAACAUUAACAUUCAGCUUUUAAUCAGUUCAGACCGGAAACGCCUCUUGUUUAUUAAAUCAGCCAUCACGAUGUACCAGUAUUGACGAUAAAAAUAAAUAAUGAAAUAAU
Long non-coding RNA from Pseudoliparis swirei, 1253 nucleotides. RefSeq lists it as uncharacterized. The record is from RefSeq and is a predicted model, not a curated record. Lineage: Eukaryota; Metazoa; Chordata; Actinopteri; Perciformes; Liparidae. The transcript is spliced from 2 exons.